RNAcentral lists this ribosomal RNA (576 nucleotides) under Triticum aestivum (bread wheat). RNAcentral describes it as "partial small subunit ribosomal RNA". The record is from RNAcentral. Lineage: Eukaryota; Viridiplantae; Streptophyta; Magnoliopsida; Poales; Poaceae.
AUGGUCAUGUGCGACUUCAACCUGAACUUCACCUUCAUUUCUUGUGGCUGGGAGGGAUCUGCUACUGAUGUUAAAGUUCUCCGGUCAGCACUUAACAGUGGGUUUCAUGUAUCUCCGGGCAAGUUUUAUCUGGUUGAUGGUGGUUAUGCCAACACACCUUACUUCUUGGAACCGUAUCGUGGUGUUCGGUACCAUCUGAAGGAGUUUGCAUGCGGUCGUCAUCGACCCCAAAAUCAUAGGGAGCUAUUUAAUCUCCGGCAUGCCGUGUUACAAAAUCACGUCGAACGGGGAUUAGGAAUCUUCAAGAAGCGGUUCCCAAUCCUAAAAGUGGGCACACAUCAUCGAAUAGAGAACCAAGUCAAGCUACCAGCAGCGGCGGCAAUCUUACAUAACAUCAUCCGAUCUGAAAAAGGAGAUGAGCGUUGGUUAGAUAACCAACCAAACAAUAUACCUGUCAUGAAUUUUGUUGAUCUUCCUGACGGUGAUAUUCCUCAAAAUCAUCAAAUCAACCAUGAAGGCGACAACCUUAGAGAUGCCAUUGCUCAUCAAAUGUGGGCUAAUUAUCAACAUGCAUAA